This 497-nucleotide ribosomal RNA is filed under the name uncultured bacterium. RNAcentral's name for it is "partial 16S ribosomal RNA". It matches the Rfam family "Bacterial small subunit ribosomal RNA", at positions 28 to 507 of the family's 1533-position model. The record is from RNAcentral.
GAUGAACGCUGGCGGCGUGCCUAAUACAUGCAAGUCGAGCGAACAGAUGAGGAGCUUGCUCCUCUGACGUUAGCGGCGGACGGGUGAGUAACACGUGGAUAACCUACCUAUAAGACUGGGAUAACUUCGGGAAACCGGAGCUAAUACCGGAUAAUAUAUUGAACCGCAUGGUUCAAUAGUGAAAGACGGUUUUGCUGUCACUUAUAGAUGGAUCCGCGCCGCAUUAGCUAGUUGGUAAGGUAACGGCUUACCAAGGCAACGAUGCGUAGCCGACCUGAGAGGGUGAUCGCCCACACUGGAACUGAGACACGGUCCAGACUCCUACGGGAGGCAGCAGUAUGGAAUCUUCCGCAAUGGUCGAAAGCCUGACGGAGCAACGCCGCGUGAGUGAUGAAGGUCUUCGGAUCGUAAAACUCUGUUAUUAGUGAAGAACAAAUGUGUAAGUAACUAUGCACGUCUUGACGGUACCUAAUCAGAAAGCCACGGCUAACUACGUG